AGAGUUUGAUCCUGGCUCAGAACGAACGCUGGCGGCGUGGAUAAGACAUGCAAGUCGAACGAGACUUUUCGUUGUAGCAAUACGAUGGAAAGUUUAGUGGCGAACGGGUGCUUAACACGUGGGCAACCUGCCAUGAAGUGGGGGAUAGCUCGCCGAAAGGCGAAUUAAUACCGCAUGUGAUUAGAGAGGACAUCCUUUCGAAAUUAAAGUCGGGGCAACCUGACGCUUUUUGUGGGGCCCGCGGCCUAUCAGCUAGUUGGUGAGGUAACGGCUCACCAAGGCUUUGACGGGUAGCUGGUCUGAGAGGACGACCAGCCACACUGGGACUGAGACACGGCCCAGACACCUACGGGUGGCAGCAGUCGAGAAUUUUUGACAAUGGGGGAAACCCUGAUCGAGCGACGCCGCGUGGAGGAUGAAGGUCUUCGGAUUGUAAACUCCUGUCAUUUGGGAACAAGGUGCACACGUUAACUGCGUGCGUAUUGAUAGACCAGAAGAG
RNAcentral lists this ribosomal RNA (499 nucleotides) under uncultured soil bacterium. Its description in RNAcentral is "bacterial SSU rRNA". It matches the Rfam family "Bacterial small subunit ribosomal RNA", at positions 8 to 486 of the family's 1533-position model. The record is from RNAcentral.